This 460-nucleotide ribosomal RNA is filed under the name uncultured bacterium. RNAcentral's name for it is "partial 16S ribosomal RNA". It matches the Rfam family "Bacterial small subunit ribosomal RNA", at positions 338 to 795 of the family's 1533-position model. The record is from RNAcentral.
CCUACGGGUGGCAGCAGUGAGGAAUAUUGGUCAAUGGACGAGAGUCUGAACCAGCCAAGUAGCGUGAAGGAUGACUGCCCUAUAGGUUGUCAACUUCCUUUAUAAAGGAAUAAAACGAGGCACGUGUGCCUUUUUUCAUGUACUUUAUGAAUAAGGAUCGGCUAACUCCGUGCCAGCAGCCGCGGUAAUACGGAGGAUCCGAGCGUUAUCCGGAUUUAUUGGGUUUAAAGGGAGCGUAGAUGGGUUGUUAAGUCAGUUGUGAAAGUUUGCGGCUCAACCGUAAAAUUGCAAUUGAUACUGGCAGUCUUGAGUACAGUUGAGGUAGGCGGAAUUCGUGGUGUAGCGGUGAAAUGCUUAGAUAUCACGAAGAACCCCGAUUGCGAAGGCAGCUUACUAAACUGUGACUGACAUUGAUGCUCGAAAGUGUGGGUAUCAAACAGGAUUAGAUACCCCUGUAGUC